RNAcentral lists this microRNA precursor (100 nucleotides) under Canis lupus familiaris (dog). RNAcentral describes it as "mir-8799 microRNA precursor family". It matches the Rfam family "mir-8799 microRNA precursor family". Lineage: Eukaryota; Metazoa; Chordata; Mammalia; Carnivora; Canidae. RNAcentral also lists the same sequence under 1 other name. The record is from Rfam by way of RNAcentral.
GGGGGGAGGCCGGAUCCUGGGCUGUGGCCCCGGCGCCCUGUGCUCCUGGGCCUGCGCUGUUGGGUUUGUUAGAUUUGCGCUCCCCGGGGGGCAGCCCCCU